GGUUGAAUCCUUGAUUCCACAAUGGCAAACAUGGGAAGGAGAAAGCUGGUUGGUGCUCUGUGGUAUUCACCUCAUGCAUAACAGCUCUAGAACACACCACGGAGCCCCCUCACUGAUGAAGAUAACAUUUCUGGGGAAGAACCAGAAAUGUUCUCCGUUCAGAGUCAGCAUCCUUCACCUACAUCCCUCAGUUUCCAGGCCUGGCUCUCUGGUCCUCUUCACAAUACUUUCACUGCUGACUACAGCAUACUAGCAGACGAUCAUAAGGAUGUGAUGAUCGAAGACUGAUUAAUACGCUUUCAGGUUUCCUUUGUAAAUAAGGAUUUGCUUCUGUCUUCUCCCUAACCACAAGCAAGCCCAUGAGCUGAGAAAGAGCUGGGGAGCCAGAACUUGAGCCCUGGAGAGCAGCUGGGCCAGGAAGCACUCAGAUGCUUGGAGUCAGACAUGCAAUUUCCCUAUCUUAGAAAGUAUCACAUGUCCUGGCUGUUUCCUAAGUAACUUCUGGCUGAUGGGUGAUAAUAUUAGAAUAAAUGAAAAGUUGUUUGUCUCUGGUGGGGAAAAAAAUCAGUCUUCAAAGGAAUAAUAAAAUGUUGCUCUGCUAA
This is a long non-coding RNA of Grammomys surdaster, 602 nucleotides long. RefSeq lists it as uncharacterized. The record is from RefSeq and is a predicted model, not a curated record. NCBI's taxonomy places the organism in Eukaryota, Metazoa, Chordata, Mammalia, Rodentia, Muridae. The transcript has 2 exons.